GCUACAAGUCCAGUAGAACAUGAGCCUGACUGAAGCAAUUUUUGAAGUUUUAGUUGAACCGGAAGUACUUAUGGUUUUUGUAGGUUAAAAAUGACCAAAUAUCAGCAAUUUCAUGUGAAUCAUCCUAAUGUAGUUGACCCUUUAACCCUGCCCCACUGCCUUUCAUUCAGUCCACUCAGGCUGCCCUUGGAUCACCUCAGAUCCCUGGCUUCCUCCUUCCACCUUCCUUGGCAGGAUCCCCAUGAUGGAGAGUGAUGGGUGCCUGAGAGAGAAGACCACAAAGGAAGAGAGGGGAAAUGUCAGAGAGGCCGGGUAGUUAUCUGCAGGCCUCCCUGAGAGAACUGCCCUAAGCUGUCUGAGAUGCUGAAAGCCAGGGGCACUGAUCCAGCACAGAGUACAGAAAGGAUGGACUGGAUUUUCCCCUGAUGCCCUCAGGGGUCUGAGGAUAAAGCAGGCGGGACCUGCAGGGUCUGUAGGAAGUAAGCCAGAGGGAGGCACUGAGCUAACCACAGAUGGGAAAAGAAGAGCACGUGGCUCAGAGCUAAAGAAGACAUGGCCCUGUGACCAGAAGACUCUGUCCCAGCAGGAAAGGCACAUCUCAGUGUGGAAGGGUCUGGAGCUCAGGAGGGAUUCAGACUCAGCAAGGACUCAGGCUCACUAACCUCUGCUCAGGACAGCAAAACCCUCUAGGUUCUUUCCUGGGAGAGCCAUGCAACCAUGGUGUGUCAGUAGGAAGGUCUCAGGACAGGACCUAUGAAGUGAAGAUGAACAAAGACACAGAGGCCUGCAUUGAGCCCACCCUCCUCUCCACAGAGAUGUGAGCUCUGCUGUCCUCUUCCCAGGCUGGCCUCGUGUGGGGAUGGCUUUGGGGAAGCAGGGACAGGUCCCUGAGAUCCCACCUCUGGCUGAUUUGCAGGAAAAGAGGAGAUCGCAGAGAAGAAUCUGCACAGCCUCUGAUGAGAGCCUUUCUCACUCUCACACACACACAUACACACAAUGCCCAUUUUAGCUUGGCCUUUAUUCACCAGAACAUUUCUAAACAUUGCUUCUUAAAUCCUUUCGGUUGUAACCAACAGACAUAAAUCAUUUAUUUUGGCGAGACUCAGUGGUGAGACUCAGUGCACACAUACAGAUGUUGACAAUUAAACAAUGUUAUAAAACACUACUUAUAAUAAAGCUGCCCAGAAGAGGGCACUGGUGGCAAAUCUAGGCCUGAGUUUUUGUCCUUGCUGGAAUUUUGGAGAAUUUUAGCUGCAGACAUAGGUUCGUUAGAAAGUUGUGACAUCCACUUGGUCAGUUAUAAUGGGCCCUUAAAAGAAUAGCAUAGCAUAGCAUAGC
Long non-coding RNA from Callithrix jacchus (white-tufted-ear marmoset), 1338 nucleotides. RefSeq lists it as uncharacterized. Lineage: Eukaryota; Metazoa; Chordata; Mammalia; Primates; Cebidae. The record is from RefSeq and is a predicted model, not a curated record.